CAGUAGCCGCGGGAAUACGGAGGGAGCUAGCGUUGUUCGGAAUUACUGGGCGUAAAGCGCACGUAGGCGGCUUUGUAAGUUAGAGGUGAAAGCCUGGAGCUCAACUCCAGAACUGCCUUUAAGACUGCAUCGCUUGAAUCCAGGAGAGGUGAGUGGAAUUCCGAGUGUAGAGGUGAAAUUCGUAGAUAUUCGGAAGAACACCAGUGGCGAAGGCGGCUCACUGGACUGGUAUUGACGCUGAGGUGCGAAAGCGUGGGGAGCAAACAGGAUUAGAUACCCCAGUAGUCCCUGUCUCUUAUAC
Molecule: ribosomal RNA, 301 nt
Filed under: uncultured bacterium
Lineage: Bacteria
Description: partial 16S ribosomal RNA
Rfam family: Bacterial small subunit ribosomal RNA
Source: RNAcentral